AUUUCAUAUGAUUACAACUAUAAGUAUCUAUCGCACACAUAGUGUUGUUAUAGUACAUAAUAGAGUGUCAUCAAAGCCGUCUCACCUCAAAGAUUGAUUUCUGCGCGGUGUGACGAUUUAUGACUAAAAUCCUAAUCUAAUGUCAGUUUACGCCUAUUUUUAAAUAAAUGGGGGGAAGAGUGAAAAAUUCAAAAUUCGCACAUAUAUGUGAUGAAUCUUGUGAGUCUAUUCUCUCUGGCGCUAACUUUACAUACAUAUAUAUAUAUAUAUAUAUAUAAUGUCUCGUUAGUUGCUCCUGAUUUAUCCGCAUGUGAAUAACGAUUUUGAGAUAAAAUCAUUCUUUCAAAUGUACUACUGAAGUAAAAAAGUAAAAAAAAAAAAAAGAC
Molecule: ribosomal RNA, 386 nt
Filed under: Chironomus dilutus
Lineage: Eukaryota; Metazoa; Arthropoda; Insecta; Diptera; Chironomidae
Description: partial 28S ribosomal RNA
Source: RNAcentral